RNAcentral lists this ribosomal RNA (274 nucleotides) under uncultured bacterium. Its description in RNAcentral is "partial 16S ribosomal RNA". It matches the Rfam family "Bacterial small subunit ribosomal RNA", at positions 523 to 796 of the family's 1533-position model. The record is from RNAcentral.
AUACGGAGGGUGCAAGCGUUAAUCGGAAUUACGGGGCGUAAAGCGUACGUAGGCGGGUCGUUAAGUUAGAUGUGAAAGCCCCGGGCUUAACCUGGGAACUGCAUUUAAAACUGGCGGACUAGAGUUGAGUAGAGGGGAGUGGAAUUUCAGGUGUAGCGGUGAAAUGCGUGGAGAUCUGAAGGAACCCCAGUGGCGAAGGCGACUCCCUGGACUCGAACUGACGCUGAGGUACGAAAGCGUGGGUAGCAAACGGGAUUAGAAACCCCGGUAGUCC